Molecule: long non-coding RNA, 1499 nt
Filed under: Bemisia tabaci
Lineage: Eukaryota; Metazoa; Arthropoda; Insecta; Hemiptera; Aleyrodidae
Description: lncRNA ENSASIAIIG011936
Source: RNAcentral
AAGGACACCAUGCACUGAGGUUAGAAUUUCUAGACCUCUCUGAAGUGAGUGGUCUGAAAAAGUACCUCCUAAAAGAUCUCUUCAUUAUUUGUUACCUCAAUGGAACGUGCUAGUUUGUGUGCUCAAUACAUAGGUCGCGUUGAGGAACGUUUUUCAUGAAAAAUAAUAAUAAGCUGUGGUUCCUAGUAUCUCCUCCGCAUAUAGGAUUUUAUUGGAACUACAUAAUGCAGUUUUUACUUCUCUCCUGAUUUUGAAAUUAAUUUAUAAAAGUCAAGUGAAAAAGCUAGUAGUGCUUGUUCAAUCACAAAACUAUUUAUAUAUUUCUUACAGCUCCAAGAUAUAUCUGUAGACGUCAUAUCGAUAAAAGUUGCAUUGGGGAAAGCCCAAGAUGAAGCAAUGGAUUUAAGCGAUCAAGGUACCCCAACUCCAACUCCGUCACCCUCUCCUCUGCCUGUUAGUGAUCAUCCGGAAGGUACCUUGCUAGAAUUCAUCCAAGAGUCCAAGUGGAAUGCUGCCCUUUAUUUUGUUCGGCAGAAUAAGUAAGUUUUCUACUUUUCGGGUUUUCAAGUCUAUGAUUUUUAUGUAAAAGCAAGUAGAAAAAAUUUUAACAGAAAUUCAUACAAAUUUAAUUCGGUUUAGUUCCGUCAAGGUUAGUUUUUCUCAAAAUGGUUUUUGAUGUUCAGCAAGAAAUGAGCUCUUUUUGCUGUGCAGAUUAUCUUGUCUAUUUUAUUUUUUUUUCCAAAGUCUGGCCUAAAAAAUGCUAGAAACAACUUCACACUUUACGGUCUAAUUUCAGAAAGUGAUUUCAACUGAAUUCAGUACUUGUCCCUAACAAACAAUCAGGGCAAAAAUUCCUAUUGCUUUAAGGUACCCAAUCCUCGUCCAACUUUUUGUUAUGUAACAUGAACUCAAAAAGAUGUUCUUCAUAAUAAUGUACCUUCAUAUUUUUACAUUCAAUCUUAUUGUACUUUUUGUCAAGGACUUAUAGCUCAUACUCAUCAAUUUUUCAGGGGUUCAUGGUCUUUUGUCAGCGAUUUGAUUUGCUCAGGAAUAGAUGAUGAUGAUGUAGUCUACACUUUGAAUGUUUACUGUUACUACCUGAUUCAAAAAAGGCCAGAUGUUUUUGUCAUGACCGAACAAGAUCUGAGCUCUGUUUUAAACUCCUUAAUGGAAGGAUUAUGCAAAGUUUUGGCUGCUGUGAAUAAAGUGGAAACGUUUGUGAAACAACAGCGGCAAACUGUAUGCUGAGUUACACCAAAGUUUAUCAGUAAAGUCUAGUCAGAUGUGGAUAUUCAUAUAUUUUUUUAAUCUAUUCUAUUUUUAAUUUCUUCUUAUGUUCAAUACUGUCUUUCCAAGUCAAGAAACUAGUUUUAAAUUGUUAGGUACAGGCCAUAACAAGUAACCUGCAUCCUGCAUAUAUUGAUGCAGAUUUUCUCUUUAAAACAGUUUUUUCUGUUGGAAGUCUUUAUCAAAUCAACAGUUUUCACAGGUACAUAUUG